This 274-nucleotide ribosomal RNA is filed under the name uncultured bacterium. Its description in RNAcentral is "partial 16S ribosomal RNA". It matches the Rfam family "Bacterial small subunit ribosomal RNA", at positions 523 to 796 of the family's 1533-position model. The record is from RNAcentral.
AUACGGAGGGUGCAAGCGUUACUCGGAAUCACUGGGCGUAAAGCGCGCGCAGGCGGCUAUUUAAGUUGGAUGUGAAAGCCUAUGGCUCAACCAUAGAACUGCAUCCAAAACUAUUUAGCUAGAGUGUGGGAGAGGAAGAUGGAAUUAGUUGUGUAGGGGUAAAAUCCGUAGAGAUAACUAGGAAUACCAAAAGCGAAGGCAAUCUUCUGGAACACUACUGACGCUGCGGCGCGAAAGCGUGGGGAGCAAACGGGAUUAGAAACCCUAGUAGUCC